AUUUAUUUGGCUUUGUUUAAAAAAGAGAGAGAGAGAGACAGACAGAAUCUUAUUUUGAAUGUGAUGGAAAGCAAACCUCCAGCAGCAAAUGAACCCGAAAAGAAGGGUGAUGUCGAAAUAACGAAGGCUGUAAUGAUGCAAAGCCAGGCUUCGCUACCAGAUAAUAUGGCAUAGAGAGCGUUUACAUACUCACAUCUGAAAUACUAGGCAACAUGUAAUGAAUUCUACACAGCACGCACACACAGCACAGCACGGCUAAUCCUGCCUGCCAUCUUAGGCUCACACAAGCAAGAUACGCACUGCAUGCAGCCCACAAGCGAGCCAGCGCGAGGGAAGGAGGAGGAGGCAAGGGACAGCUCACCUUAAAUGCAGUAUCUGAUUAAUGUUGUAAGUGACAUUGCAUAUCAGCCUCAGAGUCUUGGCUCAACUGGGUAGGAGGGAACAAAGAAAAAUGUCAUCAACUGGUGAUGCAAGAUGAGCCCAAUCACUAACCACUGUUUAGCAAACUCCAAAUUCUGCAACCAGGCAGUAGAAGGCAUUCCAUGCACUGAAGCAGAGCGGCUGCACAAUGAAGGAGUCCUUCUGCUUCUGAAAAAUCAAGCAGUCCUUUUGCUAAGGAAGAAAAUCAGCUGGAAUGAGCACAGUCAUGUCCUCUUCUUGGAGAAAGCUUGCAAUACACGCUCAGAUCUUUCAGCCAGAGGAAUGGCAGAUUGGCACAGCCUCGCUUCAAGACAGCCUCAUCUGUAAAAUCAUAUUUAAAACGUAAAACACAAGACCUUCAAAACAUAGACUGAAGUGUGAUGGUUCACCUCAUAGGAUGUUGACUCACCAGAGAUUUGUGUUUCUCGCUAAAAGACAAACUUCUCCACUGCCUUAACGUGAAGGUCAUUUUCUAAGAUACACGCAACCACAUUAGCGCGUGAAGAACCGACUUAAUGUGCUGAGGAAAAUCUGCAGAAAAGAGACCGUCACUUGGGAGGUGACUUGAGAAGCCAGGAGAACUGAGUUACAGCUCUAGGUCUGUCAGCUCUGUGACUCUCACGC
This is a long non-coding RNA of Myodes glareolus (Bank vole), 1044 nucleotides long. RefSeq lists it as uncharacterized. The record is from RefSeq and is a predicted model, not a curated record. NCBI's taxonomy places the organism in Eukaryota, Metazoa, Chordata, Mammalia, Rodentia, Cricetidae.